CCAAUAGCGUAUAUUAAAGUUGUUGCAGUUAAAAAGCUCGUAGUUGAACUUCGGGAUCAAUUAGUUGGUCAUGCCUUGGUAUGUACUGAUUUUAUUGGUUCUCACCUUCUAAAGAACUAUAAUGUCAUUUAUUUGAUGUUAUAGGGAAUUAGGACUGUUACCUUGAAAAAAUUAGAGUGUUUAAAGCAGGCUCACGCUUGAAUACAUUAGCAUGGAAUAAUGAAAUAGGACAUCGCAUUCUAUUUUGUUGGUUUCUAGGAUCGAGGUAAUGAUUAAUAGGG
Molecule: ribosomal RNA, 281 nt
Filed under: uncultured Glomus
Lineage: Eukaryota; Fungi; Glomeromycota; Glomeromycetes; Glomerales; Glomeraceae
Description: partial 18S small subunit ribosomal RNA
Rfam family: Eukaryotic small subunit ribosomal RNA
Source: RNAcentral